Molecule: long non-coding RNA, 901 nt
Organism: Hemicordylus capensis (graceful crag lizard)
Lineage: Eukaryota; Metazoa; Chordata; Lepidosauria; Squamata; Cordylidae
Exons: 2
Source: RefSeq, a predicted model, not a curated record
GCCAUCCAGAUACUUCCAAUGAAGGAAUUUAUCUCAGAAGACUUGGGGUCUGGGAGAAAACCUUGACUUUUCAAAGCUGCCAGUACCUGAAAGUGCAAGGGGAGGCUUAAUGUGUGUCUGAGCACAGAGAGAUGUAUUGCACCCUUUGGUUCCCCUAAAACUCUUCUCUUACGCAGGUCGUAAUGAUAUUGUUAGUUAGUUCACAUCAUCAUAAAAAAAAUUCCAGAGGGCUGUGUGUCCUCCAUAGACAUUCGAAUUUGUCUUCGCUUGUUUGUGAGAAGGUAUCCUGGAAGAAUCCCCAGACUACUUUCUGAUCCCAUUUCAUAAUGCAGAUUGGGAGCAUCACUUCUGAACAAGAGAGGGGGAAGGGGAGAAUAGCACCUGUAUGCUAGUGGCAUCUCUCUCCUACCUCUCUAAGGUGCGACUUACCUCCUUGUCCAAGGCUGAGGAAAACACAGACAGUAAGAAGGCAAACCUGGGCCACAGAAGGCCUUUGAAUCACCAGGAAGAAGCUGCCCUCCAUUGGAUGGCCUUUUGGCAUGGAAAAAGAGACACUAACCUCUCCUCAGUGGCCAGGAAAAAAAACUCAGAGCAGCUAUCUGUGAGGCUCCCACGAUCUCCCACUUGAGUACUGCUGAGGUUCACACCUCCUUUGCUUCCCCAGCUACUGUAUGACUUGGUCCUCCCAGAUCAUCUGAUGGGCUUAUUUUUGCUUUGGCCAAUGUCUGCUGGCACAAGUGAUAAAGAGUCUUUAAGUUCAUGUGCAGACAUAAUUCUUCAGAAAGGCACAGCAGCAUGAGACCUUUCCGCACAAUCCUUAUGUUGUGCAUUAAAUGUGCGUUGCUUCUCAUUGGUUGUGCUUACUUGGCACGUUCGUAUGAAUAAAUGUUUAUUUUCAAGG